CGUGGGUAACCUGCCCAAGAGAUCGGGAUAACACCUGGAAACAGAUGCUAAUACCGGAUAACAACAGAUGAUGCCUAUCAACUGUUUAAAAGAUGGUUCUGCUAUCACUCUUGGAUGGACCUGCGGUGCAUUAGCUAGUUGGUAGGGUAACGGCCUACCAGGGCGAUGAUGCAUAGCCGAGUUGAGAGACUGAUCGGCCACAUUGGGACUGAGACACGGCCCAAACUCCUACGGGAGGCAGCAGGU
This 246-nucleotide ribosomal RNA is filed under the name uncultured Lactobacillus sp. Its description in RNAcentral is "partial 16S ribosomal RNA". It matches the Rfam family "Bacterial small subunit ribosomal RNA", at positions 116 to 354 of the family's 1533-position model. The record is from RNAcentral. Lineage: Bacteria; Bacillati; Bacillota; Bacilli; Lactobacillales; Lactobacillaceae.